Molecule: ribosomal RNA, 253 nt
Filed under: uncultured bacterium
Lineage: Bacteria
Description: partial 16S ribosomal RNA
Rfam family: Bacterial small subunit ribosomal RNA
Source: RNAcentral
UACGGAGGAUGCGAGCGUUAUCCGGAUUUAUUGGGUUUAAAGGGUGCGUAGGUGGAGACUUAAGUCAGUGGUGAAAGUUUGUCGCUCAACGAUAAAAUUGCCAUUGAAACUGGGUUUCUUGAGUAUGUUUGAGGUAGGCGGAAUGCGUGGUGUAGCGGUGAAAUGCAUAGAUAUCACGCAGAACUCCAAUUGCGAAGGCAGCUUACUAAACCAUAACUGACACUGAAGCACGAAAGCGUGGGUAUCAAACAGG